RNAcentral lists this transfer RNA (121 nucleotides) under Flavobacterium sp. F52. Its description in RNAcentral is "tRNA-OTHER". It matches the Rfam family "tRNA". Rfam says of the family: Transfer RNA (tRNA) molecules are approximately 80 nucleotides in length. Their secondary structure includes four short double-helical elements and three loops (D, anti-codon, and T loops). The record is from RNAcentral. Lineage: Bacteria; Pseudomonadati; Bacteroidota; Flavobacteriia; Flavobacteriales; Flavobacteriaceae.
GGGGCAGUAGCUCAGUGGUAGAGCAGGUAGUUUUGAAAUUAUCAAUCAAAAGGUCAAUCAAAAUUUACUUCUUACACUUUUAAUGUCCGUGUCGUGGGUUCGAAUCCCACCUGCUCCACAA